Molecule: ribosomal RNA, 228 nt
Filed under: uncultured bacterium
Lineage: Bacteria
Description: partial 16S ribosomal RNA
Rfam family: Bacterial small subunit ribosomal RNA
Source: RNAcentral
UGCGUAGGCGGGCUAAUAAGUCAGUGGUGGAAUCUCUCGGCUCAACCGGGAAACUGCCAUUGAUACUGUUAGUCUUGAGUUCGGUUGAGGUAGGCGGAAUGUGUAAUGUAGCGGUGAAAUGCUUAGAUAUUACACAGAACACCAAUUGCGUAGGCAGCUUACUAGACCGACACUGACGCUGAGGCACGAAAGCGUGGGGAGCGAACAGGAUUAGAUACCCUGGUAGUC